This 519-nucleotide ribosomal RNA is filed under the name uncultured bacterium. RNAcentral describes it as "bacterial SSU rRNA". It matches the Rfam family "Bacterial small subunit ribosomal RNA", at positions 992 to 1509 of the family's 1533-position model. The record is from RNAcentral.
AGAACUUUCCAGAGAUGGAUUGGUGCCUUCGGGAACUCUGAGACAGGUGCUGCAUGGCUGUCGUCAGCUCGUGUUGUGAAAUGUUGGGUUAAGUCCCGCAACGAGCGCAACCCUUUAUCCUUUGUUGCCAGCGGUUAGGCCGGGAACUCAAAGGAGACUGCCAGUGAUAAACUGGAGGAAGGUGGGGAUGACGUCAAGUCAUCAUGGCCCUUACGAGUAGGGCUACACACGUGCUACAAUGGCGCAUACAAAGAGAAGCGACCUCGCGAGAGCAAGCGGACCUCAUAAAGUGCGUCGUAGUCCGGAUUGGAGUCUGCAACUCGACUCCAUGAAGUCGGAAUCGCUAGUAAUCGUGGAUCAGAAUGCCACGGUGAAUACGUUCCCGGGCCUUGUACACACCGCCCGUCACACCAUGGGAGUGGGUUGCAAAAGAAGUAGGUAGCUUAACCUUCGGGAGGGCGCUUACCACUUUGUGAUUCAUGACUGGGGGUGAAGUCGUAACAAGGUAGGCGUAGUGCU